AUUCACUAGGGGAGCCAUGCGGCUGAGAAAGGGAAUUCAUUUCCUUUGACUCUUUGAACCUGAUUUGGGUAAUACCAGCGAAGGGAAGUGAUGUUGUUU
This 99-nucleotide non-coding RNA is filed under the name Oceanobacillus massiliensis. RNAcentral describes it as "TPP riboswitch (THI element)". It matches the Rfam family "TPP riboswitch aptamer (THI element)". From Rfam's summary of the family: Vitamin B(1) in its active form thiamin pyrophosphate (TPP) is an essential coenzyme that is synthesised by coupling of pyrimidine and thiazole moieties in bacteria. The record is from RNAcentral. Lineage: Bacteria; Bacillati; Bacillota; Bacilli; Caryophanales; Bacillaceae.